UCUACGGGGGGCAGCAGUGGGGGAUAUUGCACAAUGGGGGAAACCCUGAUGCAGCGACACCGCGUGGGUGAAGAAGCGCUUCGGCGUGUAAAGCCCUAUCAGUGGGGAAGAAAAAGGACGGUACCCAAAGAAGAAGCACCGGCUAAAUACGUGCCAGCAGCCGCGGUAAUACGUAUGGAGCAAGCGUUAUCCGGAAUUACUGGGUGUAAAGGGAGCGUAGACGGAUGUGCAAGUCUGAUGUGAAAGGCGGGGGCUCAACCCCUGUACUGCAUUGGCAAUUGUCAAUCUUGAGUGCCGGAGAGGCA
Molecule: ribosomal RNA, 305 nt
Filed under: uncultured bacterium
Lineage: Bacteria
Description: bacterial SSU rRNA
Rfam family: Bacterial small subunit ribosomal RNA
Source: RNAcentral